Molecule: ribosomal RNA, 292 nt
Filed under: uncultured bacterium
Lineage: Bacteria
Description: partial 16S ribosomal RNA
Rfam family: Bacterial small subunit ribosomal RNA
Source: RNAcentral
GUGCCAGCAGCCGCGGUAAGACGUAGGAUGCGAGCGUUGUCCGGAUUCAUUGGGCGUAAAGAGUUCGUAGGCGGUUUGUUAAGUCUGAUGUUAAAGAUCGGGGCCCAACCCUGGGAGUGCAUUGGAUACUGGCAGACUGGAGUGCAGUAGAGGCAAGUGGAAUUCCCAGUGUAGCGGUGAAAUGCGUAGAUAUUGGGAAGAACACCGGUGGCGCAGGCGACUUGCUGGGCUGUAACUGACGCUGAGGAACGAAAGCUAGGGGAGCAAAUGGGAUUAGAUACCCCCGUAGUCC